GACGAACGCUGGCGGCGUGCCCAAUACAUGCAAGUAGAACGCUGAAGGAGGAGCUUGCUCUUCUGGAUGAGUUGCGAACGGGUGAGUAACGCGUAGGUAACCUGCCUGGUAGCGGGGGAUAACUAUUGGAAACGAUAGCUAAUACCGCAUAAGAGUAGAUGUUGCAUGACAUUUACUUAAAAUGUGCAAUUGCAUCACUACCAGAUGGACCUGCGUUGUAUUAGCUAGUUGGUGGGGUAACGGCUUACCAAGGCGACGGUACAUAGCCGACCUGAAAGGGGGAUCUGCCACACUGGGACUGGGACACGGCCCAGACUCCUACGGGAGGCAGCAGUAGGGAAUCUUCGGCAAUGGACGGAAGUCUGACCGAGCAACGCCGCGUGAGUGAAGAAGGUUUUCGGAUCGUAAAGCUCUGUUGUAAGAGAAGAACGAGUGUGAGAGUGGAAAGUUCACACUGUGACGGUAUCUUACCAGAAAGGGACGGCUAACUACGUG
This 495-nucleotide ribosomal RNA is filed under the name uncultured bacterium. RNAcentral's name for it is "partial 16S ribosomal RNA". It matches the Rfam family "Bacterial small subunit ribosomal RNA", at positions 28 to 507 of the family's 1533-position model. The record is from RNAcentral.